CGGCGGCGUGCCUAACACAUGCAAGUCGGAUGUGCCCGCAAGGGUGCAUGGCAGACGGGUGAGUAACGCGUGGGGAACCUACCUCUUUGUGGGGAAUAACGUUCCGAAAGGAAUGGUAAUACCGCAUGAGACCGAUGGCUGGGAUGCUGUCGGUGAAACCCGGGGACCGCAAGGCCUGGGGCAAGGAGAGGGUCCUGCGUCUGAUUAGCUAGUUGGUGAGGUAACGGCCCACCAAGGCAUCGAUCAGUAGCCGGCCUGAGAGGGUGAUCGGCCACACUGGAACUGAGACACGGUCCAGACUCCUACGGGAGGCAGCAGUGGGGAAUUUUGCGCAAUGGGCGAAAGCCUGACGCAGCAACGCCGCGUGGGUGAUGAAGGUCUUCGGAUCGUAAAACCCUGUCGUCAGGGACGAAGGUUGUAUGCCUAACAGGUGUGCAGCUUGACGGUACCUGGAGAGGAAGCCCCGGCUAACUCUGUGCCAGCAGCCGCGGUAAUACAGAGGGGGCAAGCGUUAUUCGGAAUUAUUGGGCGUAAAGGGCGCGUAGGCGGUGUCUUAAGUGAGAUGUGUAAUCCCCGAGCUUAACUUGGGAACUGCAUCUCAGACUGGGGCGCUAGAGUACUGGAGAGGGUGGUAGAAUUCCACGUGUAGCGGUGAAAUGCGUAGAGAUGUGGAGGAAUACCAGUGGCGAAGGCGGCCACCUGGACAGUAACUGACGCUGAGGCGCGAAAGUGUGGGUAGCAAACAGGAUUAGAUACCCUGUAGUC
This 765-nucleotide ribosomal RNA is filed under the name uncultured bacterium. RNAcentral's name for it is "bacterial SSU rRNA". It matches the Rfam family "Bacterial small subunit ribosomal RNA", at positions 37 to 795 of the family's 1533-position model. The record is from RNAcentral.